AGUGAACGCUGGCGGUAGGCCUAACACAUGCAAGUCGAACGGCAGCACAGUAAGAGCUUGCUCUUACGGGUGGCGAGUGGCGGACGGGUGCGGAAUACAUCGGAAUCUACUUUUUCGUGGGGGAUAACGUAGGGAAACUUACGCUAAUACCGCAUACGACCUACGGGUGAAAGCAGGGGCUCUUCGGACCUUGCGCGAUUGAAUGAGCCGAUGUCGGAUUAGUUAGUUGGCGGGGUAAAGGCCCACCAAGGCGACGAUCCGUAGCUGGUCUGCGAGGAUGAUCAGCCACACUGGAACUGAGACACGGUCCAGACUCCUACGGGAGGCAGCAGUGGGGAAUAUUGGACAAUGGGCGCAAGCCUGAUCCAGCCAUACCGCGUGGGUGAAGAAGGCCUUCGGGUUGUAAAGCCCUUUUGUUGGGAAAGAAAAGCAGCAGGUUAAUACCCCGCUGUUCUGACGGUACCCAAAGAAUAAGCACCGGCUAACUUCGUG
RNAcentral lists this ribosomal RNA (492 nucleotides) under uncultured bacterium. RNAcentral's name for it is "partial 16S ribosomal RNA". It matches the Rfam family "Bacterial small subunit ribosomal RNA", at positions 29 to 507 of the family's 1533-position model. The record is from RNAcentral.